Molecule: ribosomal RNA, 254 nt
Filed under: uncultured bacterium
Lineage: Bacteria
Description: partial 16S ribosomal RNA
Rfam family: Bacterial small subunit ribosomal RNA
Source: RNAcentral
GACGAGGGGUCCAAGCGUUGUUCGGAAUUAUUGGGCGUAAAGCGGGUGUAGGUGGCUCUAUAAGUCAGGAGUGAAAGCCCCGAGCUUAACUUGGGAAGUGCUUUUGAUACUGUAAAGCUUGAAUGUGGGAGAGGAUCGUGGAAUUCCAGGUGUAGUGGUGAAAUACGUAGAUAUCUGGAGGAACACCAAUGGCGAAGGCAGCUCGCUGGGACGUGACUGACGCUGGAGACGCGAAAGCGUGGGGAGCAAACAGG